CCAGAUCUAUUGUCUAAAAAUAAUUCUACAUCUCACUGAAAAGUUGCUCUUUAGGCGAUUAUGUCUUAUUUUAAGUGAGAUAUUCUUGACUAGAAAUGAGGAAAAACAACUUGGUAAGAUUGGAUAUUUCUCCAGUGAAAUGGAUCAUAUCUGAUGACAUGAAAAGAUGAUAAACUGGAUUCUACAGCAAUUAUUGACAUGUAUUGAUAAGAUUAGUGGAUCAACAGGUAUUAAAACAUUUAUAUCAGUAGUGGUUUUGGUCGCCAGGGAUGUUUUUAGGUCUUUAUGGGUUAAAAUUAAUCAUGGUUCAAAAUGGUUAAAGAAAUGAGUGAGCUUAUGUGAAGAAUUGACAAAGAUCGGUUGUCUUAGUAACUGAAAAGGAAAACUUGACAGUAUGUGGUGGGAUUAAUAAACAUUAAUGUUACUGAUAUUCCGAGCCUGUUUAAGGAAAGAAAUGUCAUUUAAAGAUGAAGUUUAUUUUUCUAUCUGGGGAGAAUUUCAUGUCCAAACUUUCAUUUUUUAGUUUCUGACUCUUUAAAACAGGUUUGUACUGCAGUGAAUUCUGGGUAAAUUAAAGUUGAGGUUAAGGUGGUCAAAUGUACAAAACUCUUCAUUCCAGAUGUUUUUCCUCCAUCAGAGCACUUGAAUGUAUAAAAAACUAUGUGAUACUGAUGUACAUUUGUAAAUAAAUCUUUAUUGUUCUACAGUUUA
Molecule: long non-coding RNA, 711 nt
Organism: Sphaeramia orbicularis (orbiculate cardinalfish)
Lineage: Eukaryota; Metazoa; Chordata; Actinopteri; Kurtiformes; Apogonidae
Exons: 2
Source: RefSeq, a predicted model, not a curated record